UCAAAAUGUUUAGUUUAAUUGCUUGGAUAAUUUCCCUUUGUUUGUUGAAUGAUUUAGCAGUUUAAUGGCAGGCUAACUCCAAUCUGCAACCAUGCACCAUACAUGGACUCCAAUCAAGGUUUACUCUACAAUCAUCCUUUCGUUACUUCCUCCACUGACGAAAUUUUUGUACUGUAUUUUUCACCAGAUAUUUGGCAAGCUAGGGCACUACCAUGUGAAACAUUGUGGCCGAGUGAUAGGGUGGAGAUAUAAAGGCUUCUAUUAUAUAGAGAAGUUGUGAAUGAAAAAGGCUAGAAAAAGGAUGUCCAACAGCCAUGGAAGUACCAUAUACUGUUUUCUGAAACAUCCAACAAAAAUGUACUGUUAUUAUCAUCAAUUCUGGCACAUACUGGCCCUAGCAAGUUGCAGAGAGUUCAGUGAAGUUGUGGUAAAGUACAAAGAGCGCCACUUGUGGAUGAAACCACUCAAGUUCCUUGCUUUCUAUGCACAUAUCUGCAAACUGCUUCAUCAAAAUAGUCCAGAGAAGUUGGUAAGAUGCUUAUCCUGGUGCAGCUUACGAGUAGAAUCCUCCUGAUCAUCAGUAUAUCUUCCGGCCAUGCAAAGAUUAGGCUGAGGCCACCACUCCAGAGUGUUGAGGCGGUGGCGGGUGCAGUGGUGGUGUUGCUGGUGGCGGCGGCAGCAGCGCUCCACGUGGGGAUCUACCUAAUCCCUGGAGAUGAGGGGUGGGGCCCGCAGCUCAUACACAGGUGGCUUCUCGGGGUCCACCUGCCUGGGUGACGUCGUGGUGACGCAGUUCUGCAUCCUUCGUGUGACAGGAAUAAAGAGAGAUGAACAGCUCGACAUGCUCUUCAGAUCAAUGGCGGGCAAAAGAUGCGCCUGAUCGCCCCACGCACACAUCACCGGCCGACGGAGCCGAAAAGGCGUGAGUAGCAAAGGAUUCUGCUGUUGACAGCGUGGGAGGGUCGCUGCGUCAAGGUCCUCGGGGCUAACCUAUCUUUUCUUUGCUGGAGUCUACCUGCGUCCUAUCGAUCUGAGGCUUCUGAUAUAUCCUUUUCUUCAACGCAUGACAGUGUCGUCGACAACUUUGGAAGAUGGCUAGCACAGUAAUGACGAAAAGAUGUGUCGACGUCCGUUUCCUUCGAGGACUGUCAGUGACGUGGUAAUAAAGAAAAGAUGUGUCUUAAACUGUCACCAUUUUUUUCUUGCCUAAACCGUCACGACUCACGAUCACUUCCCUCCCUGUUGAAAAGACGGCAGAAAAUGUCAUGGGCACUUUGGGACUUGCUUGUUUGAGCCAUGGUUUGUAAAUCACAAUAAAAUUAACUACAGUUUUAGUGCUGAAUUGGUCUUUACUAGAACCACUCUUUG
Molecule: long non-coding RNA, 1368 nt
Organism: Oryza brachyantha (malo sina)
Lineage: Eukaryota; Viridiplantae; Streptophyta; Magnoliopsida; Poales; Poaceae
Exons: 5
Source: RefSeq, a predicted model, not a curated record